GACGAACGCUGGCGGCGUGCUUAACACAUGCAAGUCGAACGGACAGUCCCUGCUUUUGUGCGGUGCUCGAGUGGCGAACGGGUGAGUAACACGUGAGUACCCUGCACUUGACUUUGGGAUAUCUUAAUGACACUGGGGCUCAUACCGGAUAGGAGCUCCUGCUGCUUGGUCGGGGUUGGAAAGUUUCGGCAGUUGGGGAUGGACUGGCGGCUUAUCGGCUUGUUGGUGGGGUAGUGGCUUACCAAGGCUUUGACGGGUAGCCGGCCUGAGAGGGUGACCGGCAACAUGAGGUCUGAGAUGAGGCACAGCCUAAUAUGGGAGGCAGCAGAGGAGUAGAUAGUACUAUGGGAUGAAGGCUGAUGUAGCGACGCCGCGUGGGGUAAAUGAGGAUGGGGUUUGGAAAGUGAAAUCGUCUGUGACGAAGCGUGAGUGACGGUAAUCGGUGAAGAAGCACCGGCUAACUACGUG
Molecule: ribosomal RNA, 468 nt
Filed under: uncultured bacterium
Lineage: Bacteria
Description: partial 16S ribosomal RNA
Rfam family: Bacterial small subunit ribosomal RNA
Source: RNAcentral